GGGGUACCGUCAGACCUGAAGGUAUUGUUCUUCAGAUUGUUCGUCCCCCUCCACAGUGCUUUACGACCCGAGGGCCUUCAUCACACACGCGGCGUGGCUGGAUCAGGCUUUCGCCCAUUGUCCAAUAUUCCCC
This 133-nucleotide ribosomal RNA is filed under the name uncultured bacterium. Its description in RNAcentral is "partial 16S ribosomal RNA". The record is from RNAcentral.